Molecule: long non-coding RNA, 208 nt
Filed under: Elaeis guineensis (African oil palm)
Lineage: Eukaryota; Viridiplantae; Streptophyta; Magnoliopsida; Arecales; Arecaceae
Description: long non-coding RNA (EGUI_LNC057453)
Source: RNAcentral
GGGAGGAUUAGGAGUGGAUGACAGAGAAACGGUCGGAGGCGGCUCCGUUGAACACCCCUUUAAGAACAAGGGUGCUGCGAAGACACACCCCUUCCUCUAGCGCCAAUCCUGUUGGUGCAAAAAUCUGCUUGCGCCGGAGAAGCUGGAGUCGGGGAAGCCGCGGUCGCCGCUGGGACCUGCAUGGGAAGUCUAAACCGGAGGUGGGGUU